This 301-nucleotide ribosomal RNA is filed under the name uncultured bacterium. Its description in RNAcentral is "partial 16S ribosomal RNA". It matches the Rfam family "Bacterial small subunit ribosomal RNA", at positions 509 to 809 of the family's 1533-position model. The record is from RNAcentral.
CAGUCGCCGCGGUAAUACGUAGGGUGCAAGCGUUAAUCGGAAUUACUGGGCGUAAAGCGUGCGCAGGCGGUUUGUUAAGACAGAUGUGAAAUCCCCGGGCUCAACCUGGGAACUGCAUUUGUGACUGGCAAGCUAGAGUGUGGCAGAGGGGGGUGGAAUUCCGCGUGUAGCAGUGAAAUGCGUAGAUAUGCGGAGGAACACCGAUGGCGAAGGCAGCCCCCUGGGCCAACACUGACGCUGAGGCACGAAAGCGUGGGGAGCAAACAGGAUUAGAUACCCGAGUAGUCCCUGUCUCUUAUAA